GCUGGAGAGCACUGGCGCAAUCUCGGCUCACUGCAACCUCCGUCUCCUGGGUUCAAAUGAUUCUCCUGCCUCAGCCAUGAUGCUCAAUUUCUAAUACUAAUUGCCUAUUUUACCGUCUGUUACAGCUUCAUUGUAGGAGGUGUGAAAGAGGAGGGAAAUUGUGUUGAGACCCAAAUUAACAAAGAACUGUGGAAGAUUUCUAGUCAAAAGUCAACGGGGAACUGAUUCUUGCCAACAACCACUAAACUUGGAAGUAGAUCCAUCAGCAACUGGACCUUCAGAUGAGAGUCAUGUAUGACACCUUGAUUGCAAUCCUGUGAGAGACCCUUAGGCAGAGCACCUAGUUAAGUCAAACUCAGAUUGCUGACUCCCAGAAAUUGUAAGAGUAAACUUGAGAUUGACCUGGAGGUUUGGUGACAAGUAUGCAGGAGAGUGCUGUGAAAGCAACAAUGUGGUCAGCCAUGAAAUCCCUGCUGAGUAUGGAAAAAUAUGAGGCCAGAAGCAAAGAGAGAAAAAAUGGUGCACAGAUACUCACAAAUAAUGAAAUGCCAAUAUAAGAAUUGAAUGUCAGCUGCGGUGCUCAGAAGAGUAAGCAAUGAAGACAUCUAGAUCAGUAGCUCUUGAGGAACACCCACGUUUUUCGGAUCAUCAAAAGCCAUGCAUCAGUGUGGUGAAUGCAUCCCCUACUGAAGAAGAAAGGGAGAGUUGUACAGAGAGCACCUGGUUGUAGCGGAUCAGAAAGACUGUGUUUGACCCUGCUUGAAAAGAACAGAAAAAAGCAAAGACAAAAGUUGAAUAAAUAAAAAUAUGAUGACCAACCUGCAAACUGUUAUCGAUCAAUGGAUGCAUUCACCGAGUAUUUGUUUCGGUAUGUGUGUGAUGUAUGACGUAUCCUGAAAGGAACAGGAACUAUCGAAAGUUUAUCUUUCAGCUACAUACUUUUGUGACUGCCAUAAAGUUUCACUUGUGUCGCUAAAUUACUGAAAGUGUUAAAGGAAAGAAAACUGGGGAUAGCCACAGAUGCUUGCAGUUUUCAAUUUGCUGACUUGAAUAUUUGCAACUGGUUAUUUAACACAUAUAUGAAUUUAGUUGAUUAUUUUCAUAUAUACUUUCAAUCAGUAUUUCCCAUAAUUAAAAAGACCUUCGCAUUUUUUUCUAUUAUCUGUUUUGGGUUAAGUUAAGUACUAAUACCCUAUAUUUCCAUUGCUGACCUUUAUAUUAAAAAUAUUUUCUCCUGCAA
Molecule: non-coding RNA, 1240 nt
Organism: Macaca mulatta (Rhesus monkey)
Lineage: Eukaryota; Metazoa; Chordata; Mammalia; Primates; Cercopithecidae
Source: RefSeq, a predicted model, not a curated record